GUCAUCGUCGACGAUCGGCUUUGAGUACUUCUUGUUGGAUGACCUCUUCAGCUCCGGCCAGAGAUACUCCGCCGUCAGCUUCUUUGGCCGGCCCGGCACGGUGGGCGGGAUGUAGCCCGAAAUGAUAGCACCUCCACACAUGGUUAAGGUUUCUCGUUUCUUCUGGUUUGUUCAGGCACUAAAGAGAAAAGAUUUUUAGGAGAGAAUGGGUUAAAUGUAAAAUUUGCUUUUGUUGGCUUGAGAGAGUUUUGGAUUCUUCAGUGUCUAGUGAAUGAUGAGAUUCAAGGGUUGGCGGAGGGUAGACGGUUUUAUAUUGUAGAGAGAUGUUAUUAGACUAUUUUAACCUCGAGUGGCGCGGUAAUUACAUUUUGGUUCAAGAGCUACACCUAAACCGACUAAAUGCCAUGAAUGAUAACACAAAUUUUUUCUUUUUAAUUUUUUAUACCCUGAUCAUGUAUGUACUCUUGAUAAUCUUGGUAGCAAACUCAUGUUAUUGAUAGGAGAUGACUUCAAAUUUCAAUUAUUAAUGCAAUUCACACGAGAGUAUGUAUUAUACUUAAAAAUGAUAUUAUCCAUGAGAUUUUAUAACGUUUAUACAAAUUGAAAAUAUUAUUUGAGAUCAUAGCAAUCAUAUAUUUUAAAUUUAUUUAUUGACUAUUAUGUGAUCUGAACAUUUAAAAAUAAUUAAUUUUACAAACUUCACUUUACCUAAAUAAUCUUAUUUUUAUUGCUCUCGCCUUCAUGUGAUAGCAUGAAUUACAUGUUGACUUAACAAAUAGUAUUCUUGAUUUCAUUAUUUUGACCUAAUUUAGUGGUGGCAAGAAUUAUAUUAUGGUUUAACGAUAAUGAUAUUUUAGAAUAAUAAUAUUAGUAUUCUUAUUAUUAAUUUAAAAUUUUUAUCGAACAACAAUAUCUUGUGACAUUAUAAUGUUCAUGCAUUUAAAAUCCAUUUAUGAGGAUGUUACAUGACUCGUUCAGGUGUAAACAAAUACAUUAAUAAAAGUAAUUUUAUUAUUAUUAAUAUUAUUAUUUUAAAUAAUUUAACAAUAAAACAAAACAUGCUUGAGUUAUAGCAUAUGUCUUAUUUUGUACUAAGGGAUUUGCAAAAACUACUCAUCUAUAAGAUUACUUGACUUAUAAGAUUUAUUUCCAUACUUAAAAAUAUUGAAACAAGUAUUUAAUUAAUUGUUCAACAAGAGAAGAGAUGAUUCGGUUGAAGUGGGUGGUGGGUGAGAUGAAGGACAGUACCUGCGAUAAAAUGGCAAAAGUGAAAAGAUAUUGAAAUGAAGAGGGUAAAAAUGGGAAUUCAGGCGGAAACAUUUUUUGACAAUUUUGGGCUUGAUUAAAAAGGGGGCUAAUUACAAUUGGGGGGCCGGUGAGGGUUGGAGCCGUGUGGGUCUGGUGAGAGAAUGGCGUCAUGUGGUUCGUUUUGAUGGGAGUUACCGCAUUUGCGCUCUGCGAGUCUGCAUGGACUACACUUGCACAAAUUUUCAUCAUCAUUUUUUUUUCUCAAUCUUUUAAUUCCUUUCCGUAAUGGGCCUCCCAAUGAAGAUUUUGUUAUUUAUGUCAUAAUAAUACAACAAUUAUAAUUUCUCCUUUUCAAAAAUAGUUAUUUGUUGAAGUUAUUGGGAAUUCACGAUAAUGAUACAUACUAAUUGGGGUUAUUUUAUUUGGCAAAUUAUAUGAGCUACCAAUUAGUGGUGGUUUAAAAUCCGGAAGCGCUAUCAAUGCAUGAGAAAUCUUAUAUAAACAAGUAACCGUAAAAUUUGGUCUAAGGUUAGGUUGAAGAGAUUUGAAAUUAGGCUUUUUUUUUUUUUGGGCAUAUUUAAUCACAUGUGAUUCUUGGUGGUUUCCUGUGAAGCAUUUUUACGAGUUCUAAAAGCAUGUGGAUUGUCUUUGUGGCUACCUAAUUCUAUGAGGUGGUGAGCUAAAUUGACUGCACAAAAAUUUCCGCAAAAUCACCUAACUUGUAUUCAAUUCACUAUGUUUCGUAGCUUUCCGUACAAAAAAAACUUGUUUAUUUCCAAUUAGAAUACAAAUUCUCUCCCUCUCUCUCUCUAGUUUUGGUCAAAUUACAACAUCGAUUUACAAAUAUUUCUCACUUUAAUUUGUUAUCCAACUCAACUUGAGUGAAAUUUUCCUACUGUUAUCUAUAGUAAAACAUUUAAAUAAGAAUAUUUAGUAAUAAAAAAUUAUGGCCCCAACUUGAGACCAGUUUUAAUUAGGAAUAAAUUCUAUAUUAUAAUAAAUUUUUUUUUUGUAGGUCUCGUCUUAAAUAAAUUUACCUCCACAUAAUAAUAAUAUUUCAAAAAUAUAUGACAUGGUCCAUUAAAUAAUUAAGCUGGAAUAAAAUAUCUUUUUAAAGUUGCUUGUGACAAUGAUUCGUUUUUUAAAGCUGCAACCACAUGUUUCAUCUUGCGACUAUGUAUAAAUUGGUCAGCAUAGACAUCUUCUUGUUGAAUCCAAAAUAUUUAUAAAUUCUCAAGUUUGUUUGUAGCUUCUUGGCAUGAAACUUUUGUGUAUUUAUGUACUGUCAUCCUCAGGAUUAUCCCAUUUCUCUUCUUAUCCAAUUGCAUUAAUAAUUUCUUCUUCAAUUAAAGCAUACCCGACUUAUUGUUCACUUGAAUGAUUGAUGAAGAAAUUAAUAUCCAUUUGAUUAUUAAUACAUGACAUAAUUUACAUCUAUAUCACUUGCAUCAAGGAUAAUUAAGUAAAGAUAAUAAUUUUUGUACUAUACCUCUAUUGAGUUAUAAGCUCUUUAUAAGAAUAAAUUUCAAUAAUAUGACUAUAAAUAGAUUUUAGUGUACUUAUAUUUGGCUACAAAGUUUCACUAAUGUAGUACUUUUUUUUUUUUUAAUAGAAGCUUUACUAAUAGAGCUACUUCAAAGAUAACCUUUCAAUUACAUGGAUCGAAAUUGUAAAAAGGUAGAUAUGAAAUGGGUUGCAAUCUCAAAAGUCCUAUAUUUAAUUUAAUAAAUUGCGGAAAUUUAAAAUUGCACGUGUGUUGCAUUUUUCUUGACUUACGAAAAUUAAUCCUCUUAUUUUCUUUGCAUAUGAAUUUCUAACUUCUAGGAGUAUCGAAUUGAGGAAGAAGAUUGCGUGAUAUGUUUGUGUGUAAAGUGGAAAGCCCACUAUUGAACGUUUUGAUGGCUUCAAGCAAGAAGACUAAUGAAGUGUUAUCAAUUAAGAUAGCUGCUAGCUUCAUAUAGGCUUCUGGCUAUAACUGUGGCUCUGGUAAAAAAACAUGAACUCAAGACCCAGAUUCAGAAUGAGGAUUUCGUGGGACUCGGUACUAAUUCAAUAUAGUAAUUAGUAAAUUGUUUAUAAAUAAUCUUCUUUCUUAAUGCCACCACAUAAAUUUCGGCCUCCGACAACUCUUUCUUUUCUUUACCAAAGAAUUGGCUUCAACUAUCAUAGGCUUGUUGAAAAGUCUAAAUAUAUAUUAUCAAGUAUUUUUAAGACAAUAAUACGUUCUUUAUUGAAUUCCAACUCCUUCUAGUAAUGGAAGGAGAAAGUAUGUAGUACGCGCACGAAAAAAUCACCCCAUUAUUUAUUAAGUUUUUUUUUUUUUUUUGGUUUAAACCAUCCGAUUUCCGGCGACCGCAUUGGGCCCCGACUAAUUCGGUGUAGUCACAGUUAAGGCUCUUUACCCCUCCCAAAUGGUGUGUUUAGUGAGGAUCGAACCCGAGAGCUCUUCCCACUUACCCAGCCUGCGCCGCCAACUGAGCCACAAUCGUUUGGUUAUUUAUUAAGUUUUUAACAUAACUACACCGCAUAAAUGAAUGUGAUUGACUUGUUAAAUAGUCGACAUAAUAUUUUAUGUUGGGUAAAAGUGUUUGAUUAAUUCUUGUAUUAUUAAAAAUACCUCAAAACAUUCAUGUUGUUAAAUUAUUGACACAUUGUCAUUAAUUUUUGUUUCAUUUAACUUACUUUUAUAAUAUUACUCUCUUACAAUAACAUUCCUUUUUUUUGACAUUAAUAAAAGAAAAAAAAAUCAAAUUAUCAAUUUAACUCUAAAAAAUAAAAACAAUAUAUAUAUAUAUAUAUAUAUAUAUAUAUAUUAAUUUUUGUGGAACACUCAAUUGAGGAGUUAAUAUAUAUAUAUUUUUAUUAAUGUUAAUAUAUUAUAAAAGUAAUUUAUAAAAGACAAAAAAUAACGACAUAGGUGUUAAUAGUUUGACUGUAAAGAUGUUUUGAGAUAUUUUAAAAAAAUAUAAAAACUAAACAGGUACUAAUAUCGUAUUAUAAAAAAUAAACGAGUUUUUAUGGGUAAUUUUUAAAAACAUCCCCUGAGGUUUGGGCUUGUUGCAAGUAGAUGGCGAGAAUUUAUUUAUUUGUAAAAAACCCCAUACCGUCAGUUAACUUUAACAUUGACCGUUAGUUGACUAUGCAAAGACAAUAUUACCCUUAACAAUAAUUUGUAAACGGAAAUAACUAAAAUAAAUUAAAAUUAUUGACUAUUUUACCCUUUUUAAAUUAUUGAUAUUUUCUUAAAGUUUUUACAAGAAAGAUAAAAUUAAAAAUUUUAAAAAUCAUCUUUAAAUUAUUGAUAUUUUCUUAAAGUUUCUACAAAAAAGAUAAAAUUAAAAACUUGAAAAUGAAAUAGUUAUAAUCUUUACCUAUGAUAUUGUAAAUCUUUGGAAUUGAUAAGGAUAAAAUUGUCAAAAAAUAGGGUUUGUGCUUUUCGCGCCAACAAUUUUAAUUUUUUUUUUAGUUAUUUCCGUCUACAAAUUGUUGUUAAGGGUAAUAUUGUCUUUGCACAGUCAACUAAUGGUCAAUGUUAAAGUUAACUGACGGUAGGGGAUUUUUUACAAAUAAAUAAAUUCUCGCCAUCUACUUGCAACAAGCCCAAACCUCAAGGGAGAUUUUUAAAAAUUACCCGAGUUUUUACUCUAUGUUGUGUGAGAAAGAAUCUCACUUGUUGGAAGAGAAAAGUAUUUUACCAUGGCUACUAGGGCAAAAUGGCAACAUUGUGAAAUCAAUAAAGAAGAGAGGGCAGAUUAAUUAAUUAAGCAAAGAAGAAAUGCCGCACUUGCUGGAAUCUUCCGCAAGAUGUGACGUCUUACCAAGAGUUAAUCCAACAAAAAAUGGUGGAGUGAGAGAUGGAAUGUGAAGAAAGGUAAAUGGUGAAAAUUCGUCUUUUGCCAAAUAAAUAAAUAAUAAAGGCGAAAAAGAGGUGCAUGCAUUAGAAUCUGGCGUACACAGGGAACAUCGAGAGAGUUGCGAAAACGACAAAAAGAAAAUGAAUUGGAAAAUUUCAAAAAGCAAAAUGAAAGACAAAUGGACCCCACUCUUAAGAUGUGUGUGCAUUACGACAAAGUUGUUUUGUGAAACAAAAACAUGUAUUUUUACAUACACACCCAAUAGUUGGCAGCCAUGUGCCCGGAGGAGAGAGAAAAUACAUUGAAAAACAAGUAAAAAGAGUUGGCUGUAAGUUACAUGAAUUGUAACUUAGGCAACUCCUUUUUAUAUAUAUAUACUUUUGUUUUCUUUUUUUACUUCUUUUGGAAGAUUAAAAAACACGUUUCUGUUUAAUCGCCCACUUGCAUGUUGCUUCCGGCCGUAUUAAUAUCUAUCAGAGGAAAUAAUGCUUCCACCGACCCCGCAGCUUAAUUUUGCCAAUUAAAAAAAAAAAUAAAAAUCUUGAUUCUUUUUAAAAUUUAAAAUUUACCUGGAUUUUAGUAUAAAUUAAUCAAUGGUGUUAUUUGUUUUUGAUUAAUUUUUCCGGAUCUAGAUGAGGAUUAUUUUUGUAUAUAUAAAUUGCGUUUGUUUUUUAACUUAAUGACUUAAAGUGACUUAACUUAAUUAAUUAAGUUAAUUAGAAGUGUUUGUUUUUAUAAUUUAAUGAAAUUUUUUAGAUAAUUUUGACUUAAUAAAAUAAGCUAAUUUUUUUAGCUUUUUAUGUAAUAGAGAAAUCUGAAUUAAGUCAAUUACUUACUAAUGUAAAAAAUAUUCAUGUUUUAUAAUUUAUUUUUUAUGUCUAUCCCAAAAUUCACCCAUAGAUAUUUACCCCACUUAAAAAUAUCCAUGUUUUUUCUUUCUUACAUUAUAUACGAUAAAAUUUGAAAUUUAUGGUAUUUUAUAUAUUAAAAUUUUAAAAUAAUUAUGUAUUCACUUGAAUAUAAUUUUACUUAUAAAUAUUAAAAUAUUGUGGUAUUUAAUAUAUUAUUUAUUUGACAUUCAAAUUUAAUAUGGAUACAAAUGUAAAAUUACAUAUUUUCAGUUUUUUAAGUUGAAAAAAACAAACAACUUAAUACUUAUUUUUCGAGAUACAGACGAUAAAACAAACAUAUUAUUCAGAUUCAGACAUUCAGGCCUAUUCAGAUUUAUUCAGAUUUAAGACAAAAAAACAAACGCCACAUGUAGAUUAUUUUCUUAAAUCAAAUUAGAGAUCACCAAAGAGUAUCUGACUACUUAAGUGAAAAGGUCUUCAAAUACAAACAAGUAGAUUAAUUUUAUAUCAUCUUAAGAUUUUGAAAGACAAAACCAAAAUUGUUUCUCAUUGAAAAAAUUCAUUAACUUGUCAAUUAAUGGUGCUACCUUUCAAUUAAUGAUAUACAAAUUAUGCAUUGACAAAGAUGACCAUUUUUUAUUAUAGGAAAUUUAAUGAAGAAUGCGCUAUGUUUUCCCCUAUAUUUGUGCUUUAUUUUUGUUAGAAAAUUCCAAGUUGAAACACAGCCAUUAGAAUAUUCUAAUGUUCAAUGUUUCUAUCCAUUGCCCAAACUUUUACUUUUAAAAAAUUUGUUAACACUAUUAUUAAUAUUGUUGUUGCAGCUAAACACACCACCAAACAAGUUGUUAUUAAUUAAUUAAUUAAUUCUAAUGAAAUAUCAUAUCCCCGUCAUAUUUUCGUCUUCCAAAUCACAUCAUGCUAUUUGCCAUUCUACUCAUAUAAUUAAGAUUUUGAUUAUUAGUCAAUCGGCAACACGGGCAUUCUAAAUUCUUUUUUCAUUUUUUAUUUUUCCAAAUGUUUUGGUGAAAAUUUUGAUAUGACCUAUGAGCGAUGGUGAUCCCUAGGGAGUAGAAGAAGGUGGAAAGCUCGUGGUGUACACGCUUCACAUUGAUACAAUUUGUCACAUUAAUUAAAUUUGAAUAUUUUUUUGUUGUUAUGUGGAGAUAAUUCCUGGGUUCCAUUAUUUUUUGAACGUCAAGUGGACAAGUUGGUGGAAUAGCUGUUGCUCACACAAACGUCUGUUACGAAAGCAAAAUCAAUUUGUGUUGACCUUUUCAUAAAAACCCAACCGAAAAAACAAAAAAUCGUGUUGACCAAUUGCUGCCUAAUUUUGACCGAUCGAAUUGAACGUCUGUGAUCCAGAGGCUACGCGACUGCUCAUUAAAGACAUGCGAUUUCUUUCUCGUGCACCCUCGAUUGUCUGAUGUUGAAGAAAGAUCAUGAAGUCAAGAUUUUUUAAUUUGAUUUAUUAAAUUUCACCCUACGCCGGCGCACAUAUAAUGUCAUGUGCCCAUCUCGUUCAAGAUUUUCUUUUAUUUUAUUUAUUUUUUGGUGCAACUGCUAACCAGGAAACUCGUAAUUUAUUUUUGCUUUUGAAUAUACUUUCUAAUUUUGUUACGGCUUCAACAACGAAGGUACAAGAUUAUGCUUAUCUAUUUUGCAAAAGUGGAAGAUACUCAUUUCAUAAUAUUUUACAUGUAUGUUAAAAAUUUUUAUUACAAAGUAAUCACUUGAUUAGUCCACCAAAUGAUUAUUAGCUAUUAAGAACAAGUUGUUAACCUAACGGAAAUACUAUAUUUUAUAUGGUUACAAAGCGUAGGCUACCGUGGUUUUGAACGUUUGCUUGUUUUUUAUGAUGGUAUUAUUAGUUGGAGCUUACUAAUAUAUAUAUAUAUAUAUAUAUAAAGCAAACAGAUCCGGUGCUCAGCUGAGUUUGUGUUGAGCACCGGAUCAAUGGUCAUCAAUUGUCUAAUGUGGGCUCCAAACAAUUGCUGACCAUUGAUCUAAUGCUCAGUACAAGCUCAGCUGAGCACCGGAUCCUGAUCUAUAUAUAAAAUUAUUUUUUUAAUGUGGAUAUUUUUUUUUAAUACGGAUACGUUGUUAGUUAUGCAGUUUAAUAGAAUUAAAAACCGACUCUAUUAAAAGUUUGUCCAAGAAAAAUAAGGACAUCCACAAAUAAUUAUAUAUUAUUAUGCCAACAAAUAAUUUAUGGCAGUAUUCAUUGUGAAGGAUUAUGUCAUUAUCAUGCAUACGCUGAAAGAGAAAAAGGAAAAUGAAUGAAGGCAUCAAGUAUAUAUCACAGUGUACUGUCUAUGAAAGUAACAACCAAGCCAAUACCAGGACCACCUUCACUCUUAUCACAAGAUGAGAUGUACAUGUUGAAUAUGGAAAUAUUGAUAGAGAUUAACAAAAAUUACAGUUGAAUAUAAGUAUGGAAUGCUUUGUUGUGUCAUUUAUUUGAAGGAUUCAUAUGUGACCCAAAUUUGCCAACAUUUAGAAGGACUCAAAUGUUGAAAUAGUUUGAACAAAAGUUAAAGGCCGCGAGUAAAAGUAAGAUCAUAAUCUUGCAUGCAUUGUCACGACAAUGGGACUAGUGGCAUUGUGCUUCCCAUCUGACCAUACUAUUUUACCACCCUUCAUGCUUGAGCUCCCGGGGGAGAGCUUAACUGCCGUUGCCUCAACGUCCUUCACGGCUGUAGAUCAUACAAUGAUUGGGGAAAAAAGAAAAAAAAUAUAUUUCAUACACAAGAAGCACAACCCAAUCAUAAAGAGAAGCGAAUUUCAUAAAGAACUCCCAUCAUUAAUGAUAGAACACACUUGCAACCAAAUUGGAUAACUUUAAAUACCAUCAUCAACAUCGUGCAGUCACGCAAUUCUAUGUACAACAAGAAAUCCAUUGUUUUCCAUUACAAGAUCAGAAAAAUGAAUUUUCCCAUGAUCUAUAACUGCAACACACUAAAAACCCAAACAAAUGACAAAGAGAUAACUGACAAAAUUACUGCCAAAUGGUUACACAAAAAGGUAGAUCAAGUGAUAAUUUUAUCUACUCUUAAGAUCCCAGAACCGAAAAUUUCAACCAUUUCACAUAAAACAAAAUAUAGUAAAAAAAAAAAAAAGAGGAAAAAUUUAAGCUUCCAUUUUACAAAGCUAAGCAACAGAAACCUCUGAUCCAACCAAUAUAAUAGAUCAUGUCAAUAUAUGCUUGAUUUGACUGACCAAGCAAACUAGUGAACAAUCUAUGCAAGUCUGGACAUCCCAUCUAUCUAAACAAAGAAGAAAAAAUUCCAAGAAAGAACAUCUCUAAAAUAUGAUCAUCAGAAUUAUCGAUCGAACAUCUGCAUCACAAAACUAACUUCCAACGGCACAAAUUAAAAAUGUCAAUUCAAAGACAAAAGAAAAGCUUGAUUGGAACAAAUGAUCCACAAACCACGAUCAAAAGCCAACAAGGACUUUAAACGCCAACCCAACAAGAAACUUCUUUUAUACAAAACAAAAAUCAGAACUUUAGAUGACAAUCAGCGCCAAGUCAUAAAAAUUUAUUUUUACCCCUAAAAUAAAGACGAAGGAAAAUGAAGAUCAAUAUAUCACAUUAGAUCAAAGCAUCUACUCAAAUUCCAUAACUUGUUAAAAAUUAAAAAAGAAAAACAGAAAAUAAGCUACCAAAAAAAAAAAUAUUACUACAAUUAUUUAAUCUAACUUUGAAAUUUUUUUCUUAAUCUUAAUUUUUUUUCCAAAGAUGAUUAAUAAAAUUUUUCUUCUUUCUUGGUGCAGGAUUAGCUAAAUUAAAAAACUUGGAAGCGUUGGAUUUGAGUGAUAAUUAUAUUAUACACGGUUCUUUAGAAGGUAAUUUUUUUAAUUAAACAAUUUGCAUAGUUAAUUUUCAUUCAAUAUUUACCAUAUUAUUUAAUUAAACAAUUUAGAUGAGAGUGACCUAGCUAUUAUUGACAAAAUUUAUAUUUUUUUAACAAGAUUAGCAAAUUUGACAAACCUGCAAGUGUUGGAUUUAAGCGAUAAUGAAAAUUUGACAACGCUAGGUAAGCCACGACGUCUGAGAUAAGAAGCAAAUUAAGAAUUAAUGUUUAUCAAGUGCACGGAUUACAUACAAUGCUUUUGAAUGUAAUAUUUUCAUUCAAAAGCAUUGGAUCUUCGUGAUUGUGGAAUAACUACAAUUCAAGGUCUACAACAAUUUACUUCCUAUUAAUGUCGAAUUUAGAAAAAGUUUUCGACAGCCCUCACUUUUUAGUGUUUUUAAAGUAUUAUUGAUAAAUGUAUAUAACAACCCAAAGAUUAUAAACUUUUUUUAAAAUUUAUAGACUUAAUUCUUCUAUUCCUCUAUUUUUUUCCAAAAUAAAUAAAGCAGGAUUAGCCAAUUUGUCAAAAUAGUAUAAGCUUAUCCGUAACAUGGCCAAGUAAUAUUUGAAUUUUCGUAAAUAGUUUAAUUAUUUAAAAAAUAGUUAAAUUGAAAAGAUUGGAAGCAUUGUAUUUGAGUGACAAUAAUAUAAACGGUUCUUUAGAAAGCCAAGGUAAAAUUUUUAAAUAAAUGGCUUACAUAAAUUUGAGUGGCUUAACUAGCGCUGCCAAAUUUUCAUUAUCGCUUAAAUUCAACACUUGCAGGUUUGUCAAAUUUACUAAUCUUAUUAAAAAUAUAUAAAUUUUGUCAAUAAUAAUUAGGUCACUCUCAUCUAAAUUGUUUAAUUAAAUAAUAUGAUAAAUAUUGAAUGAAAAUUAACUGUGCAAAUUAUUUAAUUAAAAAAAUUACCUUCUAAAGAACCAUGUAUAAUAUAAUUAUCACUCAAAUCCAACGCUUCCAAGUUUUUUAAUUUCGAUGACCUCUUCAGCUACGGCCAGAGAUACUCCGCAGUCAGCUUCUUUGGCCGGCCCGGCACAGUAGGCGGGAUGUAGUCCGCAACGAUAGCACCUCCACACAUGGUUAAGGGUUUCUCGUUUCUUCUGGUUUGUUCAGGGACUAAAGAGAAAAGAUUUUUAGAAGAGAAUGGGUUAAAUGUAAAAUUUGCUUUUGUUGGCUUGAGAGAGUUUUGGAUUCUUUAGUGUCUACUGAUGAGGUUCAAGGGUUGGCGGAGGGUAGACGGCUUUAUAUUGUAGAGAGAUGUUAUUAGACUAUUU
RNAcentral lists this long non-coding RNA (11077 nucleotides) under Citrus x clementina. RNAcentral describes it as "Citrus clementina (C. clementina) long non-coding RNA (CCLE_LNC001366)". The record is from RNAcentral. Lineage: Eukaryota; Viridiplantae; Streptophyta; Magnoliopsida; Sapindales; Rutaceae.